CCGGUCCCAGGAGCCAGUGGGGCGGCCGACCCAGCUCCCUGAAGCCCGUCGUGCAGUCCGGCACGGCAGGGGGCUAGUGUGGCGCGGGGAGGGGGGUGUCCGGCCCCAGUGGCCAAGGACAUCCCGCUCCGGGAACCCCCUCCCCCACUCCCUCUCCCUCCAGCUGUGCCGGGGCCUCGCCAACGGAAAACGAAAACUCGGGCAGAGGAAACGGCGGCAGGCGCCCCGCCUGAAAAACCCGGACAAAAGGCGCGGGCCUCCCGCCCCCGCUGCCUGGCCACUGGGGGCCUGGCACAGCCGUCCAGCCUAUGUGUACCUCUUUCCCAUGCCUUCUUGCAGUUCUAAAGGGUUCCUGUAUUCCUUCUCACAGAUUAUGAAGCAAAGAAAGCAGAGGCCACAGAUAGAUAGGACUAUGAUUUGGAUAUAAAACAGGCAACAGAAGUGGAAGGCUGACCCUACCUACUGGAAGAAGCCACCCGCUCUGGGCCAAGGACACCUCACAGAGCCUGCUUGCUUCACCGCCAUCACCAACCCCAAGACUCCACAAGAUCAGGGCCUCAGGUCCCGGAAGGAGUUGAGUGGCUCAGACACCAACUGGGCCAUCCCUGCUCCUGUGAGCCUGAGGAAGGAGACGCUGACUUCUUUGUAAAUCUUAUGUUUUAUUUCAUUUCUUUUACACUCCCUGGAAGUCCAUGGAGAGGGAUGCUUUUACAAUAUGGAAAGGCACUUAAUGACUCCUCUUCCUUUCCCUCUAUCUCCAUCAAGGUCGUGUGCAGCUGGAAUUAUCCCCCGCUUCUGAGAAGUCCUUCCUGCUAUCUAACUGUAAUCCAUCAUACUGCCUGUAUUUUCUUGCUUAGUUUUCAACAAAGUUCCUGUUUCUACCUCU
Long non-coding RNA from Suricata suricatta (meerkat), 886 nucleotides. RefSeq lists it as uncharacterized. The record is from RefSeq and is a predicted model, not a curated record. The transcript has 2 exons. NCBI's taxonomy places the organism in Eukaryota, Metazoa, Chordata, Mammalia, Carnivora, Herpestidae.